UUAAAAAGCUCGUAGUUGGAUUUCGGAGUGGGCCAGUUGGUCCGCCGCAAGGUGUGUUACUGACUGGUUUGCUCUUCUUCGCAAAGACUGCGUGUGCUCUUCAGUGAGUGUGCGUAGGAUUUACGACGUUUACUUUGAAAAAAUUAGAGUGUUCAAAGCAGGCUAUUGCUUGAAUACAUGAGCAUGGAAUAAUGGAAUAGGACUUUGGUCCCAUUUUGUUGGUUUCUAGGGCCGAAGUAAUGAUUAAGAGGGACAAUUGGGGGCAUCCGUAUUUCGUUGUCAGAGGUGAAAUUCUUGGAUUUACGAAAGACGAACAACUGCGAAAGCACUUGCCAAGAGUGUUUUCAUUAAUCAAGAACGAAAGUUAGAGGAUCGAAGACGAUCAGAUACCGUCCUAGUUCUAACCAUAAACGAUGUCGACUAGGGAUCAGCGGGCGUUAUCGUACGACCCCGUUGGCACCUUACGGGAAACCAAAGUUUCUGGAUUCCGGGGGGAGUAUGGUUGCAAAGCUGAAACUUAAAGGAAUUGACGGAAGGGCACCACCAGGAGUGGAGCCUGUGGCUC
This 565-nucleotide ribosomal RNA is filed under the name uncultured eukaryote. RNAcentral's name for it is "SSU rRNA". It matches the Rfam family "Eukaryotic small subunit ribosomal RNA", at positions 619 to 1191 of the family's 1831-position model. The record is from RNAcentral.